Pipistrellus kuhlii (Kuhl's pipistrelle) is the source of this 124-nucleotide small nucleolar RNA. RefSeq annotates it as small nucleolar RNA SNORA26. The transcript has a single exon. Lineage: Eukaryota; Metazoa; Chordata; Mammalia; Chiroptera; Vespertilionidae. The record is from RefSeq and is a predicted model, not a curated record.
UUAACAGGUUAAGGUUGACUGAGGCCUUCAGAGGCUAACCCAAAGGGUAAAUGAAGCACGUCUCCACAAAGCCCAGAGAAGAGAGGGCAAAACUCCUCUCUGGAUCCUGUCUGGAGUGACAGCU